GACGAACGCUGGCGGCGUGCCUAACACAUGCAAGUCGAGCGAUGAAGCUUCCUUCGGGAAGUGGAUUAGCGGCGGACGGGUGAGUAACACGUGAGCAACCUGCCUCAAAGAGGGGGAUAGCCUCCCGAAAGGGAGAUUAAUACCGCAUAAUAUCAGAAUUUCGCAUGAUUUUCUGAUUAAAGGAGUAAUCCACUUUGAGAUGGGCUCGCGGCGCAUUAGCUAGUUGGUGAGGUAACGGCUCACCAAGGCGACGAUGCGUAGCCGACCUGAGAGGGUGAUCGGCCACAUUGGGACUGAGACACGGCCCAGACUCCUACGGGAGGCAGCAGUGGGGAAUAUUGCGCAAUGGACGAAAGUCUGACGCAGCAACGCCGCGUGGGUGAUGAAGGUCUUCGGAUUGUAAAGCCCUGUCUUCGAGGACGAUAAUGACGGUACUCGAGGAGGAAGCC
RNAcentral lists this ribosomal RNA (449 nucleotides) under uncultured bacterium. Its description in RNAcentral is "bacterial SSU rRNA". It matches the Rfam family "Bacterial small subunit ribosomal RNA", at positions 28 to 492 of the family's 1533-position model. The record is from RNAcentral.